This 42152-nucleotide long non-coding RNA is filed under the name Citrus x clementina. RNAcentral describes it as "Citrus clementina (C. clementina) long non-coding RNA (CCLE_LNC002512)". Lineage: Eukaryota; Viridiplantae; Streptophyta; Magnoliopsida; Sapindales; Rutaceae. The record is from RNAcentral.
UGUCUUUCUCUUGUUCCUCUUUCUUGGAUUUUGCAAACCGGCUUGGAAAAGGAGGAGGUAUCACAAUAGGUAGGGGUUUCGCUCUGGUGGGUUGCGCAUCUUGAGAUUUAGGCAUCAAUUCAUUCUUCUCAAGCUCAUCUUCUACAUGCUUUGUCACUUUCUUACUAGGCUCUUGCAACUCCUUCCCACUUCUAAGGAUGACAGCACUAACGUUUUGCUUUGGAUUCACUUCAGAUUGUGAAGGAAAUCUCCCUAAUAGUUGAGACUCCAGACGGCUCACUGUAGUCGCCAAUUGACUCAUUUGGUUCUCCAAGUUCUGAAUGCUUGUUGUAGUUGCCUGCUGAAGUUGUUGAGUGUUAGUCACAAGUGAUUUAACAAUUUCUUCAAGAGAUAUACCUGACUUGGAGUUUGACUGUGGAGGUGCUGGUUGUCUUGGUGGAUACUGAUGUGGGAAUCCUGACGGCCUAACUCUAUAGUUGAAGUUGGGAUGAUCCUUCCAUCCUGGAUUGUAUGUUUGUGCAUAAGGAUCAUACCUCCUCUGAGGCAUGCCUGGAAAUCCUCCAACUGCAUUGGCUUGUUCAACGGGUUCUUCUUGAAGUGUAGGACACAUAUCAAUUGAAUGACCCAUAUUGUAACAAAUGCCACAAGUCUUCACCUGUUGCACAUUACCUACAACAAACUUUUCCACAAGAGAAGUAAGUUUAUCUAAACAUUGUUCAACAGAAGAAAUAUUUACCUCAUUCACCUUCCUUGAAGUAGGAUCUUGCCUGCUGCCAAAUUGUUGUGCAUUGGCAACCAUAUUUGAGAUCAACUCCCUUGCUUGAGUAGGGGUCUUGUUCACCAACAUACCUCCACUAGCAGCAUCUAUCAUACUCCUAUCCAUUAAUGACAGUCUUUCGUAAAAAUAUUGAAUAAGAAGUUGAUCAGAAAUCUGAUGCUGAGAAUAGCUGGCACACAAUUGUUUGAAUCACUCCCAAUACUCAUACAAAGUCUCCCCAGGAAGUUGUCUGAUCCCACAAAUGUCUUUUCUGAUGUUGGCAGCUCUUGAAGCAGGAAAGUACUUCUCAAGGAACUGCUUCUUCAAACCAUUCCACGUUGUAAUCGAUCCAGGAGGCAAGUAGUACAACCAGUCUUUAGCUAGCCCAUCUACAGAGAAUGGAAAAGCACGCAGCUUAAUCUGCUCUUCAGUCACGCCUUGUGGCCUCAUACUUGAACACACAACAUGAAACUCCUUGAGAUGUUUAUGAGGAUCUUCACCUGCAAAACUAUGAAACUUGGAUAAUAAAUAAAUAAGACCAGACUUUAAUUCAAAAUUUACCUCCAAGUCUACAUAUUGAAUGCAGAGUGGUUGCUGAUUCAAGUCUGGUUCAGCUAACCCUCUAAGAGUUCUUUCUACAGGUGCAGCUCUAUCCAUCACUUGUUCUUCUGAAUCGCUAGAUGAUUCAACCAAAUUAGGCACCGUAUCUAUUUCAGAAAGCAAAGGCGACGAGGAUCGUUGCUUAGCUCGCUUCGUCUGUUGUCUCAGCUGGCGAGCUGUCUUCUCAAUUUCAUGAUCAAACGAAAGUGUACCUGUACGAGAAGAACGAACCAUACACCAAGUAAAACGUAAAAAAGAUUAAAUAAAUGACACCAAUCCCCGGCAACAGCGCCAAAAUUUGAUGGUUGUCGAAGCCAGUAAAAAUAAAUACAUACUCUAAAUAAAUUGUGUAUAGUAAUUGAGCAAGGUCGUGUCCACAGAGAUCGGUAAUUAUUGAAAUCCUUUUAAAACGUAAAACAUAAAAUGAGGGUUUUGUUGACAAUAAUAAAAAUCAAAUUAAAAUAACAAGAAUGCAAAUUAAAGUCGUAAUUUAAAUUGGAGAAAGCUCUGAUUGAAGGAAUUAACUCAGCUUGAUUCGACUACUGAUCAUUGAUUCAAAUAUAAAUUAUUACUACUUAUGAAUAGACCGGUUAUAGCUACUGAGACCCUCUAAUAGCCAAUCUCUCCUUAACUAGUCGAUAACCAAGGUACGACCGUUGGUUAUUUCCCUAAUUAAUAGACAACCCUAGAUACGAUCAUAGGAUUUAAUCAAUUGACAGCCUGAAAAAUCAGAGAGACCCAAAUCAUAAUCAACAAACGCAUACGAUGGUUUAUUUAAAUUAGAUUGUUUAUUCUCACAACACAACUCUCUGCUAUGUUAUUUGUCACAAACAUUAAAAUCUUCAUACGAUGAAUCCUUUAAUUGACAAUAGAUUAAGUUGAUAAUUAAAUAGUGGCCAAUUACCUAAUUAACAAACAUAAUCAUGAAAAUAAUUCAGAGAAUAAACAAAUACCCAAAAAGCAAUAAAACAAUUAAAGCAUAAGAAAGAUCUCAUAGUAGUGAUGAAUCAAAGCUUCCUUAACCUUCAACCAGAAUAAUAGGUUUAGUUCUUCAUAGAGAGAAGAGAAAAGUUUAGAUCUAGGGUUUCUUUCUUUUCUAAAAAGUCCCAUUUUUCACAAUAGAUUCCACCCUUAAAUACUAUCUCUCUCUUCUCCUCUAGAGUUCUAUUUAAAAUAAAAUACUAAUAUCUGAAAUAUUAAAUUCGUAAUUACAAAAAUAACAAAAAAUACAAAACACGUUAAACUAAAAAUUACAAGUCCGUAGUUGACAGCACGUGCCCACGCCUUAUCAACAAAGUUCUUCUGACGCUCAUAAUUUCUCCAAAAAAAACAAUCAUCCUUAAACAUCAUCUUGUAACUCAAUUUUAUCACCAAUCAAUAGAAUUGCACCUAUAAAAGUAAAACACAAGUAAAUCACUAUUAUUAAGUGCAAAACAUCGAUAUUAAGGGAAGUAAACAAUACAAAACUAGUGCAUAAAUUGCACUCUAACAUCGGCCCUCCCAUAAUCAUCAUUGCCAUAUUGUCUCUUAUGUCCCCUCUUCUCCCAUCUUUUCCUUGAUCAUCUACAUACUCCUUUAGGUAUUGAUUAUGCACUAAACACUCAAUCUACUCUUUCAAGUCUAUGCAAUCUACGAUUCCAUGCUCAGACACCUUGUGAAACUCACAAUACUUAUGGUGAGCACUUCCGCCCAAGCCCUCUAUAAUCGGCUUUGGCGGGGUUAGUAAUCCCUUAUCUUUUAUUGCAACAUAUAUUUCUACUUUGCUAGUAUUCAGAGGAGUGUAUCUCUCACCCUGCUCUACUAAGUUCACCCUAAGGUUAGAUUUCGAUACUCUCCAGUCUAUAGGCAGCGACAAUCUGUUGUACUCUCUUACUCGAUUCUUAUGUUGGUUCCUCUUAUAGUUAUUUCAUUUCUUUCGGCCCCCUACCAACUAAUGAGAUUUCUCUUCUUUCAUGAUUUAUUUCUCAAUCUCGAGCCGGCCUCUCUGGUCAUCUGUAAUUGAACAUUCCUCCGUCAUAAUGAUGCCUAUCAUCCAUGUUCCUCAUCAAGCUAUACCCAAGGUUAUCUUCUCUCCUUCUUAGCUCGCCCAUUCUCACUGGACCUUCUCUCUGCUCUUCUAGUUUCCUCUUUUCUUCCUCUACAUCUUCAGUUUUCAUAUCCAAUUUUGCUUGGUCGUUUGCCUCAGUGUACGUUGUUAUCCUUUUACUAUAUAAGUUAUUCCACAAUUGAUUUAUUCUCAACCCUUCCUUUCUUUAAUCCUUUUAGGGCAUUCGGAUGAUCAAAGGCCCCUAAAUCGAUGACUUCUUUAUGAUACCUAGUCUCGAAGCUCCUCAAACUUUCAAAUUCUCUUUGGACCAAUUUUUUCAACCUGUUUGUAUCCUGUUCUGGUAUGCACGAACCUCUAAAAUGCACAAUGAAAAGCUCACAUAACUCUUUGAAAUUUCCUAUGCUUCCCUUCUUUAAUCUUUGUUACGACUCUCGUGCCUGUCUUUCUAGAGUUAAGGGAAAAAGACGACACCUUUGAAAAUCAUUCAAACCUUGAAUCCCGAUCAUCUCAUUAAACCUCUCCACAUGAUGAUUCGAGUCAAUGUUUCCUUCAUACACCACGGUUGGAACCACAUACUUGGGUGGCAAAGUUGCCGCCAUCACCUUAGUUAUCAAGGGGUACUCGUCAUCAAGUAACAAUCUUCCUACCACUUUCUUACCCUCCGUUUUCGCCUCUAAUGCCUCUAGGAUUUUUUGAAAUUGCAACAUUCUCUGCUCAAGCUCAUUUGCCCGUUGGGGGUUUCUCAGCUCUUCUCUCUUUCUUUCAUGAUUCAGGUCAUUGAUUCUCCUCCUCAACUCAUUCACUUGUUCUCCUGCACUUCUGUUAUCCUAUUGUACCCCAACUUGUGGUACUCCUAUUCUGCUCUGCUGUUGACCACCAAGCUCUUCCCUCUCUCACACUCCACUACUCUCUGGAUCACUAAUUCGAACUUGACGCCCUCUGACUUGGGCAUCAACCAACCCCUUGAUCAUCUCUUCAAAUCUUGCCAUUUGCCUCUCGAUCUAUUCUCUUCAUCACUUAUCUGCCGUGGCAUUCAUUUCCUCCGCCAAUUGGCACAAGGUCUGCAUUUCUCCGUCAUUAUCAUCCAUCACUGUUUCCUAAUCUAAUAGUCUUCUCCCUCUAAAUAUUCAAAUGUAUGACUUUUUCGUAUGGUUCCUCACAAACAGCGCCACGAUGUUGAUGCCAAAAAACGACAUCAACAGAUGAAUGUUUUCUUUGGGGAAUAACAACAUGAAUUCAAGCUCAAACGUCAGUCUGAUCACAACUUUCUAUACCUGCCAACCAGAAAACACGGUUAGGAUACGUUGGUGGGGUUCCAGCGUAGACCAUCCGAUGCUUAAGUCAGAAAUUGUAUAUAAGGAAAGAAAAACGGGAAGGAAGAAUUGAGAAUAAGUUAAAAUCAAGGAAUUUUUCCAACAGAGGUGUUGAAAGUCUUGUAGGAAAUAAAGAGGCUUUUAGAUAAGUGACUUGUAGAAUUUUUGGUUGAUUUUCCUAACCCCCUCCUUUGUUGCCCUCUUCAGCUUAAAUAGGCCCUUUGUCAUGGGCGGUUACCACCUUAAUUUUAGCCCACUUUCUUCAGCAGUUGCAAGUGCUCAUUAAUUGGAGGUGGUUUAACAAAUCGUGGCAUACAACUUUCCUAAAAAUUAGGCCACGUUAUCUCGAUUAGUAAUUUUCCAUCUCAAGUAGUUCUCAGGUCAGACAAAUGAAUUUCCAGGUCAGACUAUCUUACUUCCAGAUCAGAUUGGUGAAUUUUCGAGUCGCUCAUAUAGGCUUAAAGUUGUAUUCUUAAAUUAGGUCGUUUGCAUAAACCUCGGGUUGUACUUGUAAAUCAGGUCGCCAACAUAGGCUCCAAGUUGUACUUAUGAGGUUUGCUCAACGGUAAUAAAUUCUGAGUAAAUUAAUGCUGACUCUAUUCUAGAUGCUAUCAGAAAAAUCCAACCCAAACACCAAUUAAUCCAACCCUUAAAUCAUUGGAUUGAUUAAAAUUAAAAAAUUAAAAAAACUAUUUGUUACUUAAAAUCAAAUUCGUAGAUGAAAAAUAUAUAUUAAUUUUCCAUCAUAACAUUAAAUGUUAUCCAUUGUAUCUAACAUUUAUUAAUAAAUAACAUGGCACAAUAUUUGAAUAUUUAUCAACUUACUUUCAGUGAAAAUGGUAAGUUUAGUUAUUUAUAGUUUAAUAGCGAAUAGUUGACAUUAGUUUUUUUUUAUGAUUUUUAGAAAUUUUGGGUUGGGCUAAACUAUAUAAGAAUAAUUGAUCAAUUGAGCUGAAAAUUUUGAAAAAAAAAAUUGAUCCAAUUAACUCAUUAUAACAUAAUCAAUCUAUGUCAAUUUAAUUGGAUUGAGUUGAAUUGGAUUAGGUCCAUCAAGUUAAAGUUGGGUUUACUCACUCUAAAGGCAGUUUGUUCUGAAAGUCAAGUGUUACGGUGUGUUUGGGAUUGAUAUUAGGCAAUUGUACUUUAAAAGUUACAGCACUAAAGUAUUUAGUAAAACUAGCUGCUGUAGCUUGUAAGCUAUAUUGAUAUAAUUUUUUACUUGUAUAAUGAAAAAUAUAUUGUAUCUUUAAUAAUUUUGUCUAAUUAUUAUUUAAAAUUUAUAUUUACAAUAUAUUAUUAAUUUUUAUUUGAUAGUUUCAACUUUUUUUCCACAGCAGCUCAAUUCCGAACGGGACCUUAAUCUAUAGCAUAUUAGUCUAGCUUUAUAAAUUUAUUAGAUUACUUAUUUUGACUCCCUUAUUUGGAGCUAUCCUAUUGUAGGCAUGAUGUGGCAUUGUAAUGUCAGUUAGUAUUAUUUAAUUAACAAAAUUACUCUUUAAAAAAAUCAAAAUCAAAAUUUUAAAUUUUAAUAAACAAGAAGAAAUUAUGUUAUUGAAUGUAUACAUGUAGCGAUUAUCCAGAACAAUUUUUGAAUUUUGACGAAUCUACACUCUAGAUUUUUUACUUAAUAAAUAUUCUUAAUUUGGAUCCUUUUUUUAUAAGACAAAAUUAUUGGUUUGAAUGUAUUUAUUCCAGUUCAUUACAUAAAUUGCUAAUCUUUUAACCAUUUUGGGAAAGUGAAUUAAUUUUGGACGCAUAAAAAAAAAAACAAGGGCUUCACCCAUUUCCACAUCAUCAUCCAUCUCUACCAGUCUUCUCCAAUAGAUUCAAUUUUCUUAUGUUCUUAUUCUGAANNNNNNNNNNNNNNNNNNNNNNNNNNNNNNNNNNNNNNNNNNNNNNNNNNNNNNNNNNNNNNNNNNNNNNNNNNNNNNNNNNNNNNNNNNNNNNNNNNNNNNNNNNNNNNNNNNNNNNNNNNNNNNNNNNNNNNNNNNNNNNNNNNNNNNNNNNNNNNNNNNNNNNNNNNNNNNNNNNNNNNNNNNNNNNNNNNNNNNNNNNNNNNNNNNUUUUUAUUCAUUAUCUUGCACUAAUAAAUAAAAAGAUUAAACAAAAAUACAUGAUUGCACGUAUAUAUAUAUACUUACUUGGUUAUUUUAUUUUUCUUUUGUUGGAUUAUUAUUGGCUGUGAACGAAGAUUUGGAACAAGAUUUAAACACUGCAUGCCGCAUGGGAAAACGAGGACCUUGUUUCCAUUGUGGAACUGAAAGUGAGUUUUUUGUUCUAUUAUAUUAAUUAAUUUAUCAUUUCAUAAAUUACGGCUUUUAUUAUGUAUACAUGAUUAUGUAACAGUCGUUUGAUGAAUUCCAUUUAACGAUUGUGAAAAUAAUAUAAUUUUAUCUUAUAUUUUCACAACCGUUGGAUGAAGGCUGCUACAUAAUAAUAUAUGUAUACCCCAUAAUGAUUAUGUAACAUAAUAAUCUCCAUAAAUUUCAUAUAAAUCCAUCGGUCAUUUUUAAGUACAGAUACCCGUAAUUUUGUAUCAUAGUGCUAACUCGGCAGUUUAUGAAGUGCGGGCGUUCAUUUGGGUGCCUAAAUGGGCAAAAUCAAAACCACGUCGUUUAGGAUUUUGCAUGUUUCGGCACCAACUUUGGACAAACCAGCUUUUUUAAAAAAAAAAAAUUAUUUAAGAUAUGUGUGUUACUGAGUGAUACAAGGAGUGAACAGGGACUCCACUUUGGCGAAAUGGACCCCCUGAGAAGCCAGUGCUUUGCAAUGCGUGUGGAUCAAGGUACAGGCUAAGAGGAACUCUUAACAACUAUGCACCAAAGCAUCUUCAAAGUGCUUUUCCAUUAAAGAAGAAGAAGAAGAAGAAGAAGAAGCAGGAAAGCAAAAUGAUUCUGAUCAAUAGUUCCAGAACUGAAGAGAAAAUUUAUGAUGUUUCAAGCAGCAGCUGCGAUGAUGUAUAGUACUGUAGCUUCAGAAGGUUGUGAGAGUAAUAUUAAUGAUGGGUCAAGUUCUUCAGAAUCCACAACCAUUUCUUGCACUGAGGCUGGAAGCUGCUUUGAAAUUAAUAAACGCGAGGAGGGAAGCCAGCCACCAGGUAAUUUAUUUACAUAAACAUUUUCCGAAUUUUGCAACUAAAGGGGUUUUGUCACUAUCUUAACCCAAGCUCCUCCUUAUUUGUCGAAAUUAAUCAUUUUUUUGCUCAUGUUUUAAAACCCACCAACAGUAAUACAAUAUAAUUUCUCUAUCACUUAACACUGGAUUUAAAUUGGAAAAAAUGACCGUUAAAAGAAUAUUAUCAGCAUCAGAGGGGUUCUAGUGGUUUAAUAUAUGACGGAGAAAAUAAUUAAUGAAUCUCACCAAAAUAGAGAGGGAUUUUGGUCUUUUUCCCCAGUUUGCAAUAUUAAUAUAGACAGAAGCACUGAGUUUAAUGGUGAUUAAAGCCCUUCAGGAUUCGAUUAAUUAUUUUAACUCUAGGGAUUUUAACAAUUGGACUUGUUAACAUGCACAAAUAGCAGUAUGCUCUAAGUGGACAAGUUUAUUGUUUGUAUUUUCGUAUUUAUGCAUUGCGAGCAUAUUUUUUGUCAACAACUUUAACAUAUUUCAUAUUUAUAAAAGUGCAAUGAGUGAAGAAGAACAUCAAAACACAAUUUUUCAAAUGUAUGAUCAUAGUACAUACCAAAUGAUCAUGAUUUUAUUUCAAAUGAUGAUGAUAUUCUCUAAUGGUCUAAUUGCAUGCAUGCAGGUGAAAUCCAACAGAGUUUGUGGGAUGUUCAUAUUCCUUCAAGAAAAAGAUCCUUAGUAGUCUACCAAAGUCUUUCACCAAUUGAAAGGCUUCAAAGAGACCUUAAAAAAAUUCUAAGGCAUCAUCAAGAUCCCAAUUCUAGUAUUAUUUCUGAAUCUCAAGAUGGUGUCCUCCUUUAUAAUCUCAACAACCAAAUUAUCUAUCGUUCCGAAAUUAGUCUCGGAACCAUUCUUCUCAAAUAAUUAAUAUACUAUUUUAGAUACAUAAGCGGUUGUUGGUAUGAAAGAAAAUAAUAGAAAAUUAAAGAGCCAUGCUUGUAAAAAAAAAAAAUAUUGUAAUUUGAUGUCAUUUUAUUUUUGUAAACAAGAAUUGUUUGAAAUGUUUUACAUAUGCAGUGUUCCUUUUAAGUUACUUUCAGAUUUGGUUUCUUUUUGUUCCUCAACUAAUAAAUUGCUAUUGCCUAUUUGUGGCUCUAAUGAAUAUAUUCAACUCCUUUAAAUGGUAUGGUGUGGCCAACCAGCAGCUUAUUAGCUUUCAGAAGUGAAAAUUACUUGGCAUGUAUAUCCUAUUAAAUUUUACACACGCGUGCACUUUUGUUGUUGCAAAUUUAAAAGACAAGUUUCCCGAGAUAAACUUAAUAACUUAUUACUUUAAAUGAAAACACAUUAACAAUUAGGAAAAAAAAAAGUUUUAAGUAUUAUUAUAUGUCGAUGAAUCCAUAAUAUAUGAGUCAUAAAAUUCUGUUGGGUAUAAGAGGCUUAGCACACAACUCUGUAGAAUUGCAGAAUAAUUCUCAUAUUAUUCAAAUGCAAAACGAUUAGCUUAUAGCCUUACAAAAGCAAGGGAAGAAAAUUGAAAAACAAACUACCCAUUUUCCACUCUAACAGAUCGUGAAUCAUGGAGAAGAAAUAUUUAAACUAACAGUUACUUUCCUAGUAAAUAGGAUUUAUUUAAGGCAAUAAAAUAACUAAAUCUGAUGACUCAACAUAUCCUCCUUUAAACUAAUUGCACAAUUGCAAUUAGUUUAUUCCGGUACUCUACACAUCCCAAGUCCUUCACGAAGUGCUUCAAAUACUUCAAGCUUUAACGGUUUUGUCAUGAUGUCUGCUAUCUGGUUUUGAGUGCUGCAAUACACAAGCUCCACUGUUUCGUCUUUGGUCAGGUCACGGAGAAAAUGAAAACGGAUAUCUAUAUGCUUGCUUCUGCCAUGAAGUACUAGAUUUUUGGAUAGCUUAAUGGUCGAAUUGUUAUCACAGUGAAUAACAGUGCUUUCAUUUUGAGCAUGACCAAGUUUUUCAAGAACGCUUCUCAUCCAAACUCCUUGACAAGCACAAGAGGCAGCAGUUAUAAACUCAGCUUUAGUUGUAGACAAUGUGACCACUGGUUGCUUCUUAGAGGACCAUGAAACUGCACAGGAACUGAGCAUAAAAACAUGCCCUGAUGUACUCCUUCGAUCAUCUAAGUCCCCUACAUAAUCACUGUCAGUGAAUGCUUCCAACUUGUUUGUUCCAUUCCUCUUGUAUUGCAGUCCUAAAUUCAUUGUUCCCCUAAGAUAUCUGAGCACCCUUUUUACUGCUUGCAUAUGUAACUCUGUCGGGCACCCCAUGUAGCGGCUCACUAAACCUAGAACAUACAUAAGAUCAGGUCGUGUAGCUGCCAAAUACAUCAAGCAGCCAACAUCCUGUUUAUACUCAGUUUCAUCAACUUUCACUCCAUUCUCAUCCUUAGUCAACUUGCAUCCAGGAAUAAUAGGAUUUUUAGAAGGAUUGCUCUCUCUCAUUCCAAACCUGUCCAAUACCUCCUUUGCAUAUUUUUUCUGACUAAGAUAAAUCCCAUUUUCAUUUUGAACUACCUCAACUCCAAUAAAAUAACGCAUCUUGCCCAAGUCAGACAUAUCAAACUCCUUUUCCAUAGAUUUUUUAAAUUCUUCAAACAUACUCUCAUUAUUACCAGUAAAUAUGAGAUCAUCAACAUAUAAACUAAUAAUGAGAAUAUUACCUCCUUCACUUUGUUUCACAAACAAAGUAUGUUCAUGUGGACACCUUUCAAAGCCUUGUUUGAAUAAAUAAGCUUCAAUUCGACUAUACCAUGCUCGGGGAGCCUGUUUGAGCCCGUACAAUGUUUUCUUCAACUUAUAAACCUUCAGUUCAUCUCCUUUCUUCACAUACCCUUGUGGUUGAUCAACAUAGACUGCUUCAUUGAGUUCCCCGUGCAGAAAUGCACUCUUCACAUCUAAUUGAUACACAUUCCAGCCUUUUUGAGCAGUAAGAGCAAUCACCAUUCGAAUGGUGUCCCAACGGGCCACUGGAGCAAAAACUUCCUUGUAAUCAAUCCCAUAUUGUUGAGCAUAGCCUUUAGCCACAAGUCUGGCUUUGUACUUCUCAACAUCUCCAUUUUCAUUCAACUUUGUCUUGAAAAUCCAUUUGACUCCAAUGGUUUUUGCCCCAACAGGUAAGGUGGUCAAUUCCCAAGUGUUAUUUUUCUCAAUUGCUGCCAUUUCUUGAUCCAUUGCUUUUCUCCAUCGAGCACUUUUGUUUGCUUCUUCAAAUGUGGUUGGAUCGGCUACAGAUGUAAAAAGCACAAAAUUGGUUAGUUCUUCCUCUUCAGACAAACCUUCUCCACUUACAAAAUCUUCCAUCCAAGUGGGUUGGUUCCGUGUCCUCCCUACUUCCUGAUCUUCCCCCAAAGAUUGGCUUAAACUUGAUGAAUCAUUUCAGGCAGCUUCAUCACCUUCUUCUUCUUCAAUUUCAAAGGUAUCAUCAUUGCUUUCUUCUUCACUUUCUCCCCAAUCUAACACAUCCAGCUUUGCUGCUUUAGUACUUCUUCCCUAAUCCCAGCAUUUGUCUUCUUCAAAUUCAACAUCUCUACUAAUCACAACUCAGUUUGUUGAAGGAUCAUAGAGACGAUAUGCUUUGGAUUUUGCACUCAUUCCUAGCAUGACACAUUUGAUGCUUUUAUAGUCAAGUUUCUUCCUCUUUGCUUCAGGUACCAAGACAUGAGCAACACAGCCGAAUACUCUGAAAUAGUGAACUGUUGGUUUGUGAUUGCUCCAUGCUUCUUCCGGCGUCUUGUCUUUAACUACUAAUGUUGGACUUCGAUUAAGAACAUGAACAGUCCAAUUAAUUGCUUCAGGCCAAAAACAUUUUGGAACACUCUUCUCGGACAGCAUGCUUUGAACCAUAUUCAUAAUGGUUCGAUUUUUCCUCUCUGCCACUCCAUUUUGUUAAGGGAUAUAGGCUGCUAUUAAUUGUCUGUUUAUGCCAUGUUCACUACAAAAUGCAGUAAACUCAUGCGAGGUGAAUUCUCCUCCCCUAUCUGUUGAAGUCCUUUAAUGGAGCAACCUGUUUCUUUUUCAACAGAACUUUUAAAGAUUUUAAAAGCUUCAAGUGCGUGAGAUUUCUCAGAUAGAAAAGAAACCCACACCUUUCUACUAUAAUCAUCAAUGAAAGUGAUUAGAUACCUUUUUCCACUACUUGAAGCAGGUGUGAUAGGUCUACAAAGGUCAGAAUGCACCAAUUGUAACUUGUGUGUAGCUCUCCACAAGCUUUUCUUUGGUAUUGAUUUCCUGUGUUGCUUCCCUAUCAUGCAAUCUAUGCAUAGCUUACUCAACAUCUUCAUUACAAGUAACCCCUUCACCAUCUCUUUAUGCUGCAAGGUUUUCAAUCCUUUGAAACUGAGAUGCCCAUAGCGACAAUGCCACAAAUGUGUGUUAUCCUCAGAAAUAGCUUGAAAGCAGGUUGAGUUUGUAGGCAACUUGGUCACUAGGAUGACAAACAUUCUGUUGGUGGACAUUGUAGUUUGCAUGAUCAACCCUUUCCUAGGAUGAUAAACUCCACACACCCCAUCUUUAAUUAAUAUUGUAACCCCUUUUUCUUGUAGUUGUCCGAUGCUUAGGAGGUUAUUUUUUAAUUCUGGCACAUAAUACACAUUUGUGAUGACUUGCGUAAUUCCAUUGACUUGAAAUUUGACAUUACCUCUUCCUUUUACUGCCAUCUUUGUGUCAUUGCCCAACUUCACUGAUUGACGAAAUUGUUCAUCAAUAUCAGUGAACCAUUCCUUGCUUCCGCUCAUGUGAUUACUGCAUCCCAAGUCAAGAAACCAAGCCUCUUUAUUCUUGUCAUCAUUGGAGUCAGCAUAUGCCAUCAAAAGCAUUUCUUCACUUUCAUCUAAUUCUGUAUAAUUGGCACCUCCUUCCCAUUGAGGACAUUCAUAUUGAAAAUGUCCUAAUUUGUGACAAUUGUAGCAUUCCACCAAAGAUUUGUUGAAUGGCUGUCUACCUCUUCCUCUUCCUCUACCUUGAAAGCCUCAUCUUCCCCUGCCCCUUGCUCCACUUAUGUCUUCAUGUGUCACCUUAAGAGCUUGCUCUUCUACUGAAGGAGUUUGCAUCCUUUGCUCAUGAACAAGUAAACUACUCUGAAGCUCAUCGAUGCUCAUUGUGGUGAGGUCGUGAGAUUCUUCAAUAGAGCAGACUACAUAGUUGAAUUUUGAAGUCAUUGAUCUCAAAAUCUUCUCGAUAAUAACAAUUGGCUUCAUAUCUUCACCCUAAGCUUUCAUUUUAUUAACAAUGGUUAAUGUCCAACCAAAGUAUUGAUCUACAGUUUCUCCUUCCUUCAUCUAAAGUAUCUCAAAUUCUCUGCGAAGUGCUUGCAACUGAGCUCGUUUCACCCGUGUAGUUCCUUGAUACUUCUGCUUCAUUGACUCCCAAAUGCUCUUGGAUGUCUCCUUAUUGAGGAUGGUUUCAAUGAUGGUUCUGUCAAUGGCUUGAAACAGGUAAUUCUUCACUUUCAGAUCCUUGAGUUUUGCCUCAUCAAUGGCUUUGCGCUCUGCUAUUGUAGGUUGAGCACCAUCUGCAACUGUGGGAAUCCCAAUUUCUAUCAAGCUCCAGUAUUCCUUCGAUCUCAGAAAAUUCUCCAUCAACAUUGACCAACGGUCAUAAAAACCAUCAAAGCGAGGUAUGGAAGGUUGAACAAAGCUAUUCUCUGUUGCCAUAACAAAAGAACUUCUUUCAGAAUAUUGUCUUGACACUCAAACUCGUGUUUUACUCUUCUGCAAUAUCAAUCUCACUAAGAAAGCUGCAGUUCCUUAGGCUCUGAUACCAGUUUUGUUGGGUAUAAGAGGCUUAGCACACAACUUUGUAGAAUUGCAGAAUAAUUCUCAUAUUAUUCAAAUGCUAAACGAUUGGCUUAUAGCCAUACAAAAGCAAGGGAAGAAAACUGAAAAACAAACUACCCAUUUUCCACUCUAACAGAUCGUGAAUCAUGGAGAAGAAAUAUUUAAACUAACAGUUACUUUCCUAAUAAAUAGGAUUUAUUUAAGGCAAUAAAAUAACUAAAUCUGAUGACUCAACAAAUUCAACUUAAAAUUUUAAUAUAAAUUUUGAACUAUUGAAAUCAAGCAAUUUAAUGGUGAAUGAAUAACCAUCAGUAAAAUGCUACUUUGAAUUUCAAUAUCUUUCAUUGGAUUACUUGAAAUUAAUGAUUAAAAAUUUAUGUCAAAAUUUCAAUAUCUUUCUUCUUAUAUCUUAUAUGAUUGGCACCCGAAGCACCCAAUAACAAUACAGAUUUUCCAGAUAAAAUACUCGCAAAACCCUAAUUUUUCAAAACAAGUUAAAGUAGUAAGCAUUAUCUGUAGAGAAGAAGCAAUAAAUUGGGGCUCAACAGGACCAAUGCUACCAGCGUCUGGAAUAAAAUGGGAUCUUCGUAAAGUUGAUCAAUACCAAGGGAGUUUUGUAGCGCCUUAGACUCCGCAAAAAUAAUCAUAGAAAUAAUCUUCUCUGCCAGUUAGUGUCUCAACGGGGAAGACAAUUAAACAAGAUCUCCAGAUGCAUUUUUGGCAUUAAAAAAAAAUUGGGGAUAGAAAAGAAAAUAAAUACAACAUUUCAAAAAAUGUCAACAAAACAAGAACCAACCAAAAUCAUGCCGUUGGUUUCUUGCGUGCAAAUCUCCGCAAAGAUGCCGGUAGUUCAACUUCCUCGAAUAAUUUUUGCUUUUUUUUAGACAAGGAUUGUUCUUCCUUUAAUUGUUGAUCCAAGAAAGGUCUCCUGGCAUGUGCAAUCAGUUCUUGUUUCUUCUUGGCUUUCUUACUCGGUUUAUUCCUACCCUUUGUUUUAUUCUUCCAAACGAACCCCUUAAUGGCCUCAACAGCAGCUUCCAUUGCAGCUUCUCUCCCCUGCUUAGUUGGUUUCUCUUUCUUCUUUGCUUCCCUCACCGUACCAAUCUUAGAUGGAUUCAGCAUGAUUGUUUCAGGUAGGAGCUUGUCAAGAAGAGAGUGCACUUCCUUCUCUCUCCUCUGUUUAGAUGUUUCAAAUGGGUUUGCCACCCAGGAAUCGAAGUUGGGUUCACUUGAUCUGGGAACAAGAAUACCAGACCAACCCAUGGAGUGUCCGAUGCCUAACACAUCUUCAUAUGGGCGAAAUGAAACUUUUCCUAUUUGGUAGCCUUUCACCAUAGAAUUACCCAUGUACCUGCUAUAGUUAUGAGAUCCAGAAAAAUCUCCCAGAAUCUGUGCAAAUGAUCCAGUCCCGACAGCAAGCAAACCUUUCUGACUGAAGUCUAAAGUCUUUGCAUGGCCAGUUAAUGUCUGAAGAACCUCAUAUUUCCUCAAGUCCCAAAUCUUAAUUUUACAUUCUUUGCCAGUUGUGGCCAUGAGAUGACCAUUAGGAUGAAAUGCCAACGCUGAAACAGGCCCCUGAUGAUAUAGCAUCUUGAUAAGCAGAGCAGAGGUGGUGGGUUUCCACAUGGUUACCGUACCACCAGAAUGACCCAAAGAAACAACCCCAUUGAAGGGAUUCACCCACAUUAGAUCAGUACGACCUAGACCAGUCCAAAAAUUACCCACAAUCUCACCCAUUGUAAUAUUUUGAUAUCAAAGCUGCCCAAGUUUGUUUAUGGACGCCAAGAGAAACUGAAGUUUCAGAACUGCACCAUGUUCUUGCAAGAUUGAAAGAGCAUAAAUUAUUAGUCUUGUUGGGUUGGACUACAUCACCUUGGGCAUUCUCAAAUUUGAACGACCUACAGCUAAAAAGAUCGAAAUCCUACAAGUAAAGUGAACUCGCCUUUGAACAAUGAAGUUCAGUGCCAUCUCGGUUGUAAAAAUAAGGGUACCUGUCAAAAUUUAGAAUUUUUAGCUGUCAUUCAAACAAAGCUACAGAAUUAUCUGAGUCCAUUACAUCAUUGUUCAUAUUGAUAUCUAACCAUGAAAAAUAUAACUUUGAGACUGUCAUCAAAAGAUGGCAAAACAUAAAAACAAUAAUAAAAAUGAAAGCUCAUUUAAAGAAGAGUAAUGAUACAGCCACAAACUCUUGUACAAACUUAUUUUGUACAAACUGAUGUGGCAUGAUAAGAUUGGUUGCAUUAAAUAUCACUUGGCCCACAUGAUUUAUUUUUAUUAAUUUAUAUUUUCAUUCAACCAAUAAAUUAAUGCCACGUCAGUUUGUACAAGAGUUUGUGGCUGUAUCAUUACUCUUUAAAGAACUACAAAACUGCAAGGAAUUACACUGUGUGUGUGUGUUGUCAUCAGUAACAAAGAAAUUUACUUACAUGAAUAAAACCAAAUGUCCAAAACAGAGUAUGUUGGGAAUUUGAGAAAAAAAAAAAGAACUGGAGCACCUGAAAUAGAGCUUCAUAAUGAGUUUGGGUUGAAAAAUAAACUCCAAAAAAACCAAAAACAAUGAAGGAAUGGUAACCUAGGCCAACUCAAACAAGUUAUGCCUUCACGGGGUUCAAAUUUAAGCCAUAUAAAAGAUUUGGGAUGACCAGUUUCCUAUUACAACCGACCAUAACAAGAAAGGAAUGCCAAUAAUUUUCCAAUGUUGUACAGAAAUAUGCAGCAUGCUGCAGAGGAAUAAGGAUUCCUUUAAACAAGUAUUGAUAAUUGAAAGUCUCCAAUUUUGUUGAAAAGGAGAUUGUCACUGACUGGUUAAAAUAAAGCUAAAUCAGGAAAAUAACUAAUCAGUUCUGCACAUGAUUUGUUUUUCCCUUGAAUGACCUCAUGCAGAACGAUCAAUUAGAUUGAUCAAGUUCCAGCAAUAUCCAAUAUAGCCAGCAGUGAAAAUUCAAGUAAGACUCAGACCAAAAUAGACCUCUGGUCCCAGAGACAAAAAAAUUCAAUUAAUUCAAAGUGUCUAAUUCUUAUGAAGGUACCAAAAGAUAUCAAGCAUCAAAUAUAGUUAAUAAUGCAUUCUCUAUAUGAACGAACACCAAUACGUUUAGAGCAUACGAAUUUACUAUUCAUUGAAACAUUAAAAAAUAAAAUAAAACAGGUAUACUUUUUCUGGGCAGCAGCAAAAAACAGCUCAUUGUGCAAGAAGACCACAUCGCGUACUAUUUCUCUAACCUGAACAAACCAACAAACAAUCAGUAUAUCCAUUUAAUCUUCCCAGAUAGAACCUGGAGGUACAAACAAAGAAAAUUACUCCAUUAGAGUACGCAAAGUAAUACUGAGAAAUCUAACAAACAGUAAGAUAAAUAAAAUAUCAAAUUUGAGUCAUUUGUCCCAGCAUAACCUAUUUUUUAAAAUUCUAAAUAACUUCUUGUUUGUCAACACAUACUAGGUUUCCUAGAUAAACACAAGUAACAUUGCAAUCAGUUUGUCAAGAGAUAUAAGAGGUCUCAUCAAAAGAACAGCAUACCUGUAUUUCUUUAACUAAGUUCAUAUUGUUCAUGUCCACAACAGCUAUGUGCCCCUUGCGUCCAGCAACUGCCAUAUAUCGACCACUUGACGGUAAAAUCCAGAGUAUAUGGACCAAGUUCUGCACAGGUAGGACGAAAACAAAAGUUAUCAUUAGCAAUAUGACACUAGUCAGGCAAUAGACAAAGAAGUAAGUUUUGUUUAAGAUAGUUGCCCAACAUAGCAGUAUGAACAUCAGUGAAUGAACCAUUGAUCAAGCAAUAUCACCAAAAGACCAAAUGUACUUUUAAGUCGUUCAGAGGAACCGCAGCAACAAUUUUAUAAGGUCGUGGGCAAUGAAAAUACAUAGCAUAACUAUCUCAAAUUGGAGAGACCAGAAAACCAAAGAAGAAUCCAAAGAUUAAGACAUGGCCCAAAACAGAAAAUUAAAAGGUUGUACCCAAGUGUUGUUGAUCGUAUUACAACCUAACAAAAAGUCCAAGAUUCUACUUUACUAGACUACGGCCAUAGUUGAUAUUGAGGUUGGGCAACUGUAGCUUUUAAGUUAUAACAUUACAAUGUUUGUCAAAUAUUAACUAUUGUGGAUUGAAAGCUAAGUUGAUUUAAUCCACCACUUAUAUAGUGGAAAACCUAUAAUACCCUUAUUUUUUUUCAAAAUUAUUAUUUAAAAGUCAUAUUUUCUACACUAUUAAACUACAGCAUCUAAACAACAAAUAGGGCCUAUAUUUUAUUAAGAAAAGCAUGCAAUGGGAGCCAACUUUUAACUCUAAAGAUAACUCUAGCAAAUUUAAUUAAACAUUGAAGCAAAAUUUCCCUUUUUAUUUUCAUAAAAAUUCCUUCUUUUACCAAUCCCUUCAAAGUUGAAUAACAAAAGCCAAAUUACGGAUUUCACUCCUCAAACAGAAAUUCUAGAGCAAGUGUAUGGUUAAGAACUCUGAUCCCAUUCUACUCAUUUUACAAAAUAAAACUCUUUAUUACUUUUCAAUUCCUUAUCCACCUUCCCUUUUCAGCCAAGAUCUUUCCAUAGAUAACAACAUAUUUUCAGCAAACCUUAAAAGAGUUGCAAUGAUUUCAGUAUUUUUCUUUCAUAGUUUCUACAAUUCUCCUAAUUUUUUGCAUUUUUAACUAAUUUAAACAAAGAUAAUAGGUAUGCAACUGCAUAAGACAUGCCACAAUUUCACUACGGGAACAAGAAAUUUGAAUUUAAAAUUGUCCUUAAACAGACAAUGAGUCAAACAAAACCUUAACCAAUGGAAAUUGGUAGAAAAAUAGUCAGAGAGCAGGCAUCAACCUGGUAACAUGAUAUCAUAUUAAUUUCUGGAGCUUAGGAUAUCUACUUCACAAGCAAUUGCUUCUACCAACCGCCCCCUUCAAUAUGUUAUCUUUAUCUAAGAAGCAAGCUCAAUAUGAUUCUUUAACAAAAAUGUAUAUCAUAAACAUACAAUCCUGUAAAAUUUUUCACCUUAUCUUCUCAAAAUAGAAUUUGAGAAAAUUUAAUGACAGAUGACAAGUUAAAUAGGAAACUAAAUUACCUUUUCAACUUUGGCAGCAGCUUUCGCAGAUUUUCCAUAUAAUUCUUCUCUGAGAGGAAGUUGACCCUUCAAUUUUUGUCUUUUAAAAUCUGCAGAAAUGAAAAGCUUAGAACUGAAUAAAUAUCAUAAAAAAUCAACUCUGACAAGAAAUCUCAAUCAACAAUACCAUACCUCCAAAUUAGCACCCUCUCCUCUGAGAUAUUUCUUGACCUUUGUAUCUAAUUCAUAGGAGAUCUCCUGCAGAUUAAACAUAUAUCACGUCACUUCCUAACUUCGAAAUAGAAACAAUGCACAUCCAAUAUAAUAAAAAUAUAUUGUCGAACAUCAAAUAAUAAUGAGUUUAUUGAAAAGCAUUAAUGUGCUUUCUGGAAAAGCAUUAAUGUGCUUUCUGGAAAAGCAUUUUGUUAACUAUUUCCAAAAACAAAUCCACUUCUCGAAAUACUUAAUUCGAUUUUUAAAUAAAUCAAUCAAUCAAUUAACCAACUGCUUAUGUCAUUCAGAUUAAAGCUUCAAAGAGCGCCGAGAGAAGCAAACCUCGUGAGCGGAAUGAGUUAUUAAACCUUGUGAGCGGAAUGACUUAUUAGAAACACAUCGUAUUGCCUUUAAUCGGAAAAAAAAAAAUUGCAGGAAGUUUCCAAUUUCCAAAGUUAAUUAACUUAAUUAGUAAUCUGACUAUACGCAGAUCUAAGUAAAAGAAACUGCCACGUAAUUGCACACUGAGAGAUAUCAUUGACAUCUCAUGUUUGGUUCCACCACUCUCCUCCUAUGCGUAGAAAAAAUGCACCCAUUAUCGCUUCUUUAUUGAACAUCUACUAACCAACCAAAAGCACAAUUAACUAAUAGGUUGAACCGGGCUUAGACUUCUGGGUUACACAACUAAUUCCUUUUGCUUUGCAUAAAGUCCCACGAGAUACAAACUCUGCUAAUAAUAAUUUGAGAACUAAAGAGUUGAAUAGAUUCCCAUAAUCCACAGUGCAUCUCACCUAGUACAUUCUCAGAGAUGUUCGUAUUAUAUUGCUGGAGAAAAAUCAGUUUUUUUUAUUAAAAAAAAAUUUAGGAUCGAUCUCAUACAAUAUAUAAGAAUUCGUAAUCUAGAAAUCGUACUUUGAAACUCGUAGAAGAUGAACAAUCUUUGCUUUUUCCGCUGAAGUGAUUUAGACUCCCAGAUCACGAUCCGUCACCACCACUCCUGUUAGAUCACGAUCCGCCACCAAAUAAUCUUCCAGGCUAUGACUCAAGUUUGAUCUACACUUGACGUUUGGGCGCCUUUAUCACCACUAAAGCAAUUAGUAAGUUAGAGAGAAAAUUUCUUUUUCUCUGAUCUGUAUAUUGCGGCUCUUUCUUUUUCUUUAGAGAAAAUAAGUCUUUUUAUAUCUCCCUUUAGUGAAAACCCUAGGCUCCAAAUAAUAAAAACCAAAAGUCAUGUUGCUUUUUCUAUAAGGGCCCACCUUGCAAAAUAACAUAAGGCCCCUUACACACAAGCAUAUUAAAUGUAGCCUCCCACUAAAUGAUAUAUUUAGACUUUUGACCUAAAUAGCUAGUUAUCUUUCUUAUUAAUUCAGUAGUGGUGUAGUCAAUUAAAUGAGCUAACCCGAUAAUCAUAUGAGUAAAUACAAUAUUAGCUACAAUAAUUAGGUCUGUAAUUAAACUAGCCCAAUUAUUUAAUUCCAAAUCUACUCCACUAAAAUAUUGGAACUGACCUCCAUAAUUGUAUGCUAUCCAGGAUAGUGUUCUCGAAUAAUAAUUUGACCCAUACCACAUUGAUUUCUUUACUGCACAAUCCUUUGUACCACAUCGUUAAUUAAAUUGAUAUCUCAACUAUCCAAUCAAUUUAAUAACAUCUUGUUCCUUGAUACUUACUAGUUUUCUCUAAUGAUCAUUUUCAACACACUAAAUAAGUUGACACACUCUGGCUAGAGAAUUCUAUGAUCAAGUACCGAAAACCCAUCAAGAGAUGUGUUGUACAAAUUCUAUAUUGUUAAUAUAUAAUUUCAAUACUUAUAAUUGCUCCCACCAAGAUACCGGGUAAUCUUGACCACAAGUGUGUGUCGUGCCCAUUGAUAAAUCAAAUGAAAUAACAAUUACAAUCAUGAAAUCAUAACUAACUCAAGAUCAAGAUUACAAUAAAAUCAAUGCCUAUGAGAUUUAAUAAGUCUGACAGUCAUUUCAAGGUUAAUUAAAUCUCAUAUGUGAUCAUGUUCAAUGUAGUUGUACUAUAUCAAUAAAUUCUUACAUGAUUAAGAAAAAUCAUUCAAUAAAUUUAUUACAGUUUAUACCUAAAUAAAGUGCCCAACUUUAUUUAUCAACUGCGAAUAUAAUUUAUUUAAUCAUAAGAUAACUUGUAUUUAUGUCUUCUAUGAAUCGACAUAGUGAUCACAUAAAUACAUAUAAUAUGAUCAAAUGGACUUUACUUAAAAUAUUAAUAUAAUUCAUAUACUUGAAUAAAAUACCUCAUUUAUUUUAUUAAUCAGAAAAAUUAUUUAUUACAAUUAAAUAAACACAUAUGCUUUUAAAGAGCAUAUUUUCCCAACACAAAUAACUAAGAUUAGAUCAAUUUAGUUCAAUAUAUUUGGGAACAAAAUAAUUGACAUUUGACAAUUAUUCCAUCAGUAGAAACCAUAAGAUGAAAAUAAAGUUGGUCAAAUUGCACAUAGGGACAAUAAGAACACAAGCCAAACCUGUAUCAAGACAAAGGCUUCAUCCGAUAGACCUUCCUGCAAUAAACAAUAGCAUGUUAAAGACUAGUAAAGGCCAGCUCGGAGCGAUACAAAGCAGGAGGAUAUGGUGCAGUAAGAUUUAUGUAAAUCUGGAAUAUGAAUAAAAAUAUAACUCAAGAAAGAACCUACCUGGGUUGCCUCCAGAUGAGAGGCAUUAUGAUUUUCUUUGAUAUAUUCAUGCAACAGUCCACGAAUUUUCCAACUCUGGUCUUGAGAACCAGAGCUUUAUUCUGUUGAAAAAUCAUGCACGUGGCAUCUAAAUUCAAGAAAGCAUGCAAAUUUUCAAAGAGCUGCCAAACAAUUGAAGAAAAAAUGAAAAGUUGGCAAAUUUGUCAAAUUUGCCAAAUGGACACCAUUGACAAUUUGCUUAGGUUAGGUGGAAUAGUAAAGGGGUUGGUGCAAUAGUGCCAUUGUUUUCCCUAUAAAUAGAUGGCACUUCUUCCAUUCUAAAGCAUCCCAAAACAUUUGUUAAACUUAUUAGUUUUUAAGCUUUUGAGAGUUCUGAGAGUGUGAGCAAUUGGAGAGUGUGUGUGAGAGUACUGGGUGUAUUUGGGUUCUGAGAAAGUGAGAUUUCUUUACUCAAAUUUGUACUCAAAUAAUUGUUAAUAAUACAAUUAUUUUUCUCUUGCUCCCGUGGACGUAGGCAUAUUGCCGAACCACGUAAUUCUUGUGUUCUUUAUUUUUUUAUAAUUAUUUGGUGCGCUUGAUUCCGCAUUCCGUGCACAACAAGUGGCAUCAGAGCCGACGGUUUGUACUUGGGGGAUACGGUACUGUUCACGUAUACGGUAUUGUUCACAUACGAUACUGUUCACGAAUACGGUGGAGACAACCAUUUGUACUUGGGAGACAGUCUAUUGUAAGUAGUAUGUAUUUUUGCAUGUCUAGGAAAGUUCUGUCAACAAAGGCAAUAAGAGUCUAAGGAUUCUGGUUUUUAAUUGGGACCGAGUUCCCGUCCAGUCUCCUAGGAACUUUUCUGGUGCAUUUAUUCACGCGAAAUUAACAUCAUAGAGGCUGUUUUUCAAGUGGAAAUAGUUCGUUAAGAAAAUGAUAGAAGGUGAAACUUCUAGAAUUAGGGAGAGAACUACCGAGACUAUUUUAGGAGACACUUCAGGUGGGAGGCGAGAUUUGUCAAAUCGCUAUUCAGCACCUGUUAUAGGAGGCCAGAAGAUCGAUGUUGAAAAGUUUGAUGGGAAAAUCAACUUCGGCAUGUGGAGGCGCGAAGUUGUAGAUGCCCUUAUUCAAAUCGAUCUCGAUGUUGUUCUGAAAAAUAAAAGACACUUGUAUGAUGAAGAAAUUUGGGAUCGUAUGAACGAGAAAGCUUGUGGUCAGAUCAGAUCUUGUUUGACCAAGGAGGUGAAAUACUUAGUGAAAGAUGAGGAGUGUGCGGUGACUUUGUAGUGUACAUUGGAGGAGAAGUACAUGCUGAAAAGUCCUGAAAAUCAUCUUCAUACAAUGAGCCAAGUAUAUGGCUUUCGAAUGAAGCAUGGAGUGUCAAUGCACGAUCAUGUCUCAAGAUUUGAAAAGUUACUUGCUGAUUUGAAGAAUCUUGAUGAAGAUAUUAAGGAUGAAGUCAAGGCUAUGAUUAUGUUACACUUACUACUAGAGGAAUAUAGUCAUUUUGAGACUACCUUGAUAUAUGGGAAGAGUGUGAUCGUCUUCAAAGAUGUUUGCACAUCUUUGACUAACUUGGAGAUUCGGAAUAAUAAUAAAAAUUUUGAACGAGUAUCGUCUGAAGCUUUGGUGAGUAGAGAUUGGGCGAUGGAGAAAAAUAAAAAGUGUGGUGGAAAGAAUUCUCGAUCCAAAUCGAGAAGCAGAAAUAUAGCUCGAGAUGAGUGUGCCUUUUGUCAUGAAAAAGGCCAUUAGAAGAAAGAUUGUCCAAAGGCUCAAAAGAGAGAUGGGAAGAAACCAGCAGCAGCAAACAUGGCAUGGAAAGAUGAAGACUCUGAUUAUUCACUAAGUAUUACUCCUGCAGCAUACGUGGCUAGUACGAGCGAGUGGAUACUUGAUGCUGGAGCAACCUAUCAUUUGUGUCCUAUUAAGGAAUGGUUUACGGAUUUUCAUAAUCUGGAAUCCGGUGCAGUUGUGAUGGGAAAUGAUCAACCUUGUCGCACAAUGGGGAUAGGAACAAUUCAGCUCAAAAUGUUUGAUGGAAUGGUCAGAGAACUCAAAGAGGUUAGAUUUGUUCCAGCUUUAAAGAAAAAUCUAAUUUAUGUGGGUGCUUUGGAAGCUAAAGGCUACAAGAUUACUAUUGAAGAUGGUAUAAUGAAGUUUACACAUGGGGCUAUGGUGAUUCUGCAAGGGGUUCGGCGUCACAAUCUGUACUAUUUGAAGGGAGGUACAACUGAUGAAGUAAAUAUUGUUGAGGCGAAUAGUGACACCACCAAGCUAUGGCAUGUACGAUUGGGACAUGUUGGAGAGAAGUCUUUGCAAACUCUGAUGAGGCAUGGACUCUUAAAAGGUACCAAAACCUGUAAAUUAAAUUUCUGUGAGCAUUGUGUAAUAAGUAAGAAAACAAGGGUCAAGUUUGGUACAGCUAAUCACGAUACUUGUGAGAUCCUUGAAUAUGUUCAUAGUGAUGUAUGGGGACCAACCAAGACUGCAUCAAUUGGUGGAAGCCAUUAUUUUGUUACAUUUGUUGAUGAUUUCUCUAUACAUGUGUGGGUGUACACCAUGCGAGCAAAGGACGAGGUUCUAGAGAUUUUUGUGAAAUGAAAGAAAUUGGUAGAGACUUAAACUGGCAGAAAGAUCAAAGUAUUACGAUCUGAUAAUGGGGGUGAAUAUACUUCUCAUCCAUUCUUGCAAGUAUACCAAAACGAGGGUAUUAAAAGACAUUUCACGGUGAGACAUACUCCGCAACAGAACGGUGUGGCUGAGCGUAUGAAUCGUACUUUACUGGAGAAGGUACGUUGUAUAUUAUCUAAUGCUGGUUUAGAAAAAAAGUUUUAGGCUGAAGCUGUGAGCUACGCAAGUCACUUGGUAAACCGGUUGUCUUCUGCUGCAAUUGAAGGUAAAACUCCUAUGGAAAUGUGGUCUGGAAAGCAUGCACAAGACUAUGAUUCCCUUCGUAUAUUCAAGUGUCCAGCUUAUUAUCAUGUCAAAUAUGGUAAACUGUAUCCUCGUGCUAAAAAAGCUAUCUUUGUGGGAUUCAAAGGUGGAGUAAAGGGUUUCAAGCUUUGGGAUCUCGAAGAUAAAAAAUUUGUGUGUAGCAGAGAUGUCACAUUUGAUGAAGCUUCAAUGAUGAAAGCUUCAAGUUCUCAGCAGGUGGAGGACAAGACCAAAGAGGCAUUGCAGCGGGUGGAGUUUGAUGCAACUCCAUAUGUACCAGUUAGUUCUACAUCAAAUAAGGGUUCAACUAUGGAGGUGACGCCUAGAGUUGAAGAAGAGGUUGUUUCUUCUGAUGUCCCACAAAAUGAAGAAAUAAUUGAUGAUGUAGAUAAUGAUGAUUUUAUAGCAACAAGGAGGCCAAAAAGAGAGAUAAAGAAACCCGGAUGGCUUACUAAAGAUAUGGUGGUAGCCUAUGCACUUCCAGUUAUUGAUGAUGACAUCCCCAACACUUUCGGUGAAGCAUUACGCAACAGUGAAAGUUAUCGGUAGAAGUUAGCCAUGGAAGAAAAGAUGAAAUCUCUCCAUCAAAACCAUACUUAGGAACUUGUAAAGUUACCAAAGGGGAAAAGGGCUAUUGUCAAUAAAUGGGUCUACACCAAAAUGCAAGGAUCUCCGAAUCAAACAAAUUCUCGAUACAAGGCAAGACUCAUGGCAAAAGGUUUUGCUCAAAAGGAAGGUAUUGACUACAAUGAAGUUUUCUCUCCAGUAAAUAUACUUCGAUUGUUAAGUUAUGUCCUCCGGGAAUUUUGAACUACGGUUGGCUUGAUCCCAAAUUUUGGAUACGUAGGCAGUCACAGAGAUGCAGCCACUUUUGGGAACGAUGGUUCAUUGGUAGUUGGCUCAGAUUUGGACAAAUUUUUGCCGAGGUGGAGAAUUGUUAAAAAACCAUGCACGUGGCAUCCAAAUUCAAGAAAGCAUGCAAAUUUUCAAAGAGCUACCAAACAAUUGAAAAAAAAAAUGAAAAGUUGGCAAAUUUGUCAAAUUUGCCAAAUGGACACCAUUGACAAUUUGCUUAGGUUAGGUGGAAUAGUAAAGGGGUUGGUGCAAUAAUGCCAUUGUUUUCCCUAUAAAUAGAUGGUACUUCUUCCAUUCUAAAGCAUCCCAAAACAUUUGUUAAGCUUAUUAUUUUUUAAGAUUUUGAGAGUUCUGAGAGUGUGAGCAAUUAGAGAGUGUGUGUGAGAGUACUAGGUAUAUUUGGGUUCUGGGAAAGUGAGAUUUCUUUACUCAAAUAAUUGUUAAUAAUACAAUUAUUUUUCUCUUGCUCACGUGGACGUAGGCAUAUUAACAAACCAUGUAAUUCUUGUGUCCUUUAUUUUUCUAUAAUUAUUUAGUAUGUUUGAUUCCGCAUUCCGCGCACAACAUAUUCGCUAGCCGAUAAUAUCAAAUGCUUGAAAGGGAGGGAGCCAACCGAUCUCAAAGCAAAGUAUUCACAAGCAGUAGUUGAUAAACUGGAAAUCUGCAUUAAAUAUUACAUCCAUUACAUGCCAGCAUUUGCUUUUAAUAAAAAGAACAAAUAAAAUCAAUAAAGAUAUUGUUGAAAGCCAAAGCGUGAACCAGUGGUUGCGCGGCUGUGUCUGGCUGACGAGGAGGCGAUAAUGAAUGGCGUGAGCUCGACGGCUUGAUGAUCGGUGGUCGCCAUCGGCAGCGGGAUGAAUGCGGAAAGCAUGGGAACGCAAAUUUGGAGCACGGGGUUUCAGUUCUCAUUCGUUUUUGAGCUACUAAGCCUCUUCGCUGGUAGGCUUUUGUUUUAAAAGAUGGUCCUGACCCAGAGAAGCAACAAAGAAAGUGCUGUGAGUUAAAGAGAUUUUUCCAAUGACGAUUGUACCCUUAAAUAAAUAGUUAAAUGUUGAAGAAAAGAACAAUAAUGGGCGAUUAAAUAAUUCCCAAAAAUAAGGACCAAAAUAAUUUUUCAAAUUUAUAAUACACUUUAAAAUAGUGGUUGGAAAAAGCGUUGGAGCUGGUACCCAUUACGAGUUGGGAAAUUUGCAUUCCAGUGAAUUUGAUUGUGUUAUGAAUUUUUCGGAUUGGGAUAUAAUUCAUUAAAAAAAAUUAGAAACGAAUAAAAAAUUAAAAGUAGUAAGCAUUUUAUUAAACAAAAUUGCAAAUGCAUAUGUAUUGAAUACAAAUAAACUUAAAACAAUCACUAGAAGCAUAUUGAAAUUAAGAGAACAAUAUAAGACAGCCCUGACGGCUAGGUGCGAUGUAGAUGGAAUAUCUGUUCGUGCCUGGGUGGGUUGGCACGAUGGAACUAUUGACAACUGUCAGUGGCUUAGCGUGGUUAGUGGUAUUUGUUAUCAUUAUUAUGGUGUGUUUACUUGAGGGUUUGGGGAAUGAGAAUUAAGAAAUGAGAAUGAAACCUAUGUUUACUUGACAAAAUGUAAUUUGAGAAUGAGAAUAAAAUUUAUGGGUCCCACACAAUUUGGGAAUAAGGAAUGAGAAUCUCAUUCCCAUGGGGGGUUGGGAAUGAGAAUGAAAUUUAUGUUUACUUUUGUAUUUCUCUAAUUUUUUUUAUAUUUUCCGAAUUAUCCUCAUUCAAAUCACAAUUAAUUUUAUUAUUUUAAAUGUCAUUAUUAUUAUUAUUAUUAUUACAUUUUAUUAGCUUUAUUAUUAAUUAUUGUUAUUAUUAUUUUUAUUAAUAUUAUCAUUAUUAACAUUCAUUAUCAUUAUUAAUUUUAUUUUUUUAAUUAAUAUCAUUUUAUAAUAAUAUUUAUACAUGUAUCUAGUUAAUGAAAAUUACAUUAUUUAAUACUAUAGGUAUUUUGAUAAAUUGAUUCUCAUUCCUCAUUCCCAUUUAUUUUGCCAAGUAAACACAUCAAUUACAUUCCAGCACAUUCUCAUUUCCAUUUAUUUUUGCUAAGUAAAUAUCGGAAUCUCAUUCUCAUUCCUCAUUUCCAUUCCAGCUCAUUCUCAUUCCCAGCACAUUCACAUUCCAUCUCAUUCUCAUUUCAUGAAGUAAACGCACCAUUAUUCUUUUCAUCUCGAAAGGGUUUGUUAGAAUUAGAAAUUAGGCUUUAGUUUUGUCUUAGUUUUAGGAUCCAUUAUUUUUUAUUUAACUUUUUUUAAUUUUGAGAUCUAAUCCAAUCUAAUUUAACUCGAUCUGAACAUAAAACAGUAAAAAUUAUCUAAACAGUUCUCAAUUAAAAUAAGUUCAAUUAAAAUCUGAAUUUGUAUGAAUUAGAAUAAUGGCAAGAAAACAGAGUUUGGAUAUGUUUUGAGUAACUUUGAAUAGGUCCAAAUCUGAUAAGAUCAGUAAAAAUUAUCUAAACUCAAUCGAAUAGAUUUGAACCGUUCAGGUUCGAAUCAGAUAUGGUUCUACGUACGUUGUGUAAAACAUCAAAUUUCACAACGAAAACUCUUUUCUUGUUCAAAGAAACAAAGAAAAAGGAUAGUGUUGACACCAUAAGUUUGGCCUAACAAUAAGAUCGGAAUUAAUUUGGGAAUGGGCCCAUAAUUCCUCGAGAUGAUUACUCAAGAGGUCGGAGAUUGAGAUGCUUUGAUCUACAAGAGGAAAAAAAAAACAGUGAGGGGUGUGUUGGAGUUACUAUCAAUCAAGACAUUCCAAUGCUUAAGUCAGAAAUUGGGAGCCUCGACAAUAACAAUUGUAAAUGUUUGAGGAAAAUGUGUAUGCUAACAUGGAGUAAUGAGUUGAUUAUACAUGGCGAAAGAAAGUCAACCAAAUUAGAGUCAGCUCAUUUGAGUGGUAUAGUUUACAAAGGUUAAAAGAUAAGCUCCAUGGGAAAAAGGACAGUUUCGAUAAAUAUAUUUCCAAGUGGUAUUAUCAGAACUCAAAUUUUGUUGGUUGGAGCUAACAAGUAAAUAGUGCACUCCAUCAUGAGAAAAAAUAAAAUAUCUUCUUUUUAACUAAGAAUAAGGAGACAAUAUGAAUAAAGAUUCUUUGAGCAAAGCAAUAAGAGGGGACCAUGUCAACUAUCCUUUACUAACCCCUGAUAAAUAGAAUACCCUUAGGAACAAGGUUGAGAGGCUGCCAUGUGCCCAGCUACGGAGGCAAAAAUGUAACUGAAGGUUUUCUUACAUCCCAAGCUUAUGGAAGUCACCAUUAAAGAACAAAUCAUUGAAUUAAUAAAAUAACCUCACUUAAGAGCAAAAAAGCUAUUGUCAAAUAUUCAAGCUUCCUUGAACCUUCAGGCCACUGUUUCAUUGUCCAAAACCUUACUUGAGAGGAGGAUAUCUCUCUCUUUUUCCUCUAUGCACCUCUUGGGAGCUUCUUUCCAAAUCUGAUUUCUUGAAAAGUUACUUCAUCUUUUUCUUCCUCUACUUCUAGGGUUUUUCCUUCCAUGUGUUUAUAUCUUCAUGGAAGAUCUUGACUACCUCACCUCUCAAAAGAGUUUUUUCCUUUAUUAUUCUACUAGAAAACUCUCUAAUUUUCAUAAGACUGACAUCUUCCUCAUACUAGUAUUCACCAUAAACGACCUUUAAAGAGGUUUUGUUGAUAUUAAGAGUUGGCCUGCCUAAGGCCACGUUUCAAGAACUUAAGAGAUGUUUCAAGCUCCAGACUAAUCCAAAGGAGCAUGAGGGCUGGUAUUAUCCAUCAUCAUGGCCCAAAACGAAAAGGUUAGUUCAAAAUCUACUGAUCAUAAAUAAAAAUUUAAAGAUCGAUGGCUUUGGGCCUUAGGAGAUUGCAACCAAUUCGUUAUAGAGAAAAAGACAAACAAAGUACCAAGUGUAUUUAGACAACUAGGCCUGGUUUUAGUUAGUACUUAAAACAUACAUAGAGGUAUGAGCGUUCAUAAAAAACAUAAGUACAUGUCAUGCAGUUUUGUGAGGUGAUCAACCAAAGGUAUCACUGCAAAUUCCAACAAAUAUUAGAAAAGCACUGCAAUACUGCAAUUCGUACAUAGUAGAGAACUUUCAAGUGAAUGGACUUGUGGAUUUGCAAGAGGCUAAGCCAACACGAUAUGUGAAGAAAAAGAGAAAGGAACUGACCUGAUCAUAUGAGCUAUGCUCACAUAAGAUGUAAAAUAAAAUAUGUAAUUACUAACUGGGAUAGUGGGAUAGCAAUGGCCACCACCUAUAGCGGGUUUGUCAUUAUCGAACCUACACCAUCAAAAAAAUUUAAAUUACCAAAUUCAUUUGCAAUCUACUGUGGGUUUUAACAAUUACCAAAUACAUCUAAAACCUAGAAUGAAUUUUGCUUGUAACCCAUAGUGGCUAUAAUAGCAAUGAAUUUAUUUUAAAUUAGCAUGUUCUGCCCAUAACCUGCAAUGGCAGCAUAAGCAAUAGAUUUAUUUUAAAUCAUAACACAUCUAGAAUUAUAGUGCCAUAUUACUAUUGCAUACAAAAUAUACUAUUACAUUCAAGAAUAAUAUACUUUUACUAUUACAUUAUUACUAUUGCAUUAAAAAAAUUAGAUUUAUCUAAACAUUUCUAUAAAAAUAUACUUUUACUAUUUGCAUACAAAUAUGCAAUUAACUCUGCAGUAAAAGUUAUGCUUAUACUUGAGCUUUUGAUUAGAUUAGUAGUAGCCAAGUUUAGGUUGAUUUUUAACCCAAACCAACUAAUUUAAGACAAACCAAUUUCAACUAAUAUAGUUGUCUUUUUAUUGAUAUCUCCACAAGUGUAUUUAAAAAAAAUAUAUGCAUAUGUUCUAUGAAAAUUGAAAAGAACGACAUGAAUCAAUCUAGCGAUAGCAAUUAUUUAUCUUUAUAAUUAAAUAUUUUUAUAAUUAAGAAGAUUAUGUCAGGUUUUAAACAACAAAGGGCCACUGAUAACUUAGUUUAUGUAUUUUUAUAAAUAAAUAUUUUUAGUGAAAUUUUAAUAAUUAAAAUUUAUAAAAAAUAAUUAAAAUAAAAUUAUGGAUUGGCAGAAACCCAUGAAUAUCCGCUGAAUUUUUUAUUAAUACCAAACUCACCCACAACUCGCACCGAAUUUAAAUUUGUAAUAGCAAUCUCAUCUGCAGCCCACAAAAUUACCAGUAACAAAUGGUUUUUUAGUUGGUAGGUUCACACAGAUUUAGGGAUUUGUGGGUACCAUUGUCAUCCCUAUCAUUGACCCCAUGCUGUCAACAAGAACCGUAUAAUCAAGUAUUUGGGGAAAACUAAAGAAAAGGACCCACAAGGAGAUGGAUCCAAAAGAUGGAGGUUCAAAGCAAACAUCCAAUAUAGUUGGGGCAUAAACACGAAGACAACCCCUCGCAGCAUGCCCGACAAUAAUGGUACCAAUUUUAGCAUCAACUGUGCAUAAUGGAGAUUCAGCAAUCAUUGUUAAACAAAAUCUGACCGAGACAAAGAAAAAAGAAAUUGCUUUGAGCACACCCGACAUGUGGUGUAUUUUACUAAAGCAUACGUGUACAGAGAAAGAGCUCGUAUGAAAUCCUUUAAUGGAGUGUGAUCAAGAGGUAAUACAUAAAAUUUAAAAUGUAUUAAAGAUUCAAAGUAUAUGAAAAUAUUAUAAUAGAAGUAUAAUAAAUCUAACCUUUUCUUAUGGCCAGGCAAAUUAUCGUAGAUGUAGGCUUAGGCAAUACCAUGACCAUCUGAUCAAACAAGGAAUAAAGGGAAUUGCUAUCCUAAAUAAAUUGAAGAGCAACAUUGCAGAGAUGAAAGCAAAGACCGAGAAAAAAUUUAAAGCAAAUGAGAGCCAAAAAAAAAUAAAAAAUAAAUAAAUAAAUAAACUAAGGCAACGACAGAAAAAGCUAGAGGAAAAGGCUCUUCGUUGGGUAGAAUUAAUCACAAAAUUGAAGAGAACGAACAGUUAAUUCGAAAAAGAAAAGCAGAUCGAAUGUGACGAAGGUACUUUGCUGGUGGAGGAAAAACACCCUGGCAUAGAUUUAAAGAGCAUCAAGGAAGAGAUCGGAGUCUCCAAGACUAAAAUACAAAAGCAGCUAAGGCAAGUGACCAGAGAAAGAAUGAAGAGAAUAGAUGCGGAAACAAUGGUUCUCCAGAAUGAGGAUGCCCCAUCAACCUAAAUUGAUAUUAAGGAAAAGCAAUCAGCAUGUAAUAGCUAUAUAAUUUUGAAUUAAUAGUGAUGUAUGAUUUGAACUACCAGCAAGUUAUUUGUGAAACUUGUGGCAUUGCAUAUAUUUCAUAUCUUAUUUCACAUUGAUUAAAUGUAUUGUAUGGAAAAUAUAUUUUAUAGGCCAGAAUUAAAAUUUUAAAAAUUAUGCCGCGAAAGCACUACAAGAAAUAAGAUUAUGUAGCGAAAGGGCUACAAGAAAUAAGAAUUAAAAUAAGAACAAAAUUAAGAACUGGAUCAUAAAUAAUGCUCGAAGUUUAAUUUCGUUAGGGAUAAUACUUGUGAGGCAUUGCAGCAUUAUAUUUCUUAUAAUUCUUCCAGACGUUUUUGCCAUCAGGUCCCUCAAGUUGAUAAGUCCCAGAGGAAAACCAUUUUCAGCACAUUGCAAGGUCCUUCCCACUUAACCAUGAGGCUUCCCUUCUCAGUAAUGUAACCUCGUUAGAAGAUUCAAAACCAAUGGAAACUAAUUUAGCCAUAUGCAUGGCUCUUGCCAAAGGAAUUCCAAUGCCGAGAUUGUGUCAAUCCAUAUCCAAUGAAAACAGCAUCAUCAAGGCAGACAAACCCCUCAAUCAAAGUAAAUCUCCAUCAUCUAGAAUCAAGGAAAUCUCUAAUGGCUAGUUAAUUGAAAUUCCUGACUGUAUGAAAUUUAUUUUUUCAUUUUUUAUCUCUUUGUAUUUUUGUGUAAAUAUCGUACAUACUCUUGUAUAUAGUACAAUAAGUGAAAUACAACUUUUAUUUAGAAUAACAUUGUUUCUUUCAUGGUAUCUGAGCCUUAUGGCCUCAACAGCUCCAUCCUCGCGAAAAGAAACCAAACUUACUCUCCAAACCUUUCAUCAAUGCUCAAGCUUAAUAUCAUCAAGUUUUCAUCUAAGAAUUAUCUCUUGUGGAGGUCUCAAGUGCUGCUGAUGAUCCAAAGCGUCAGCUUAGAACAUCACAUAACUAAUUCUGAGCUUCGACCAAAGACUAUCAAAGAAAGAGAAAAAGAAACUGCCAAUCCCGAGUUUACAACAUGGCUUAACAAUGACGUAUUUGCUGAAAACAUGGCUGAGGGAGAUGAUGAUGGAAGAUACGCUAGCCUUAGUUGUUGGAUGAGAAGCUGCAAAUGAAGUUUGGUUCACCAUUAAAGAGCAAAUGCUUCCCGUCACAACAAAAAAGAAAAAAAGAAAAAAAAAAGAAACUUGACUGAAAGACAACCUUUAUUGACUGAAGAAAGAGUCUUCACGGCUAGAAGAAUUUCUCCGAAAACUCAAAAGGGAUUUGCGACAACUUAGCAACUAUUGGAAACCAUUUGCAAAUGAGGACAAAGUUUUACGAUUGCCCCAUUCACUUAGUCCAAAGUAUGCCAACUUCAAGACAGCCAUGCUCACGAAGCCUCCGUAUCCAAGACUGAAACAAUUCCUCCUUGCCCUAAAUAACCAUGAACACUCAUGGCCUAAAAGAAAAGAAUACAUCAGACAUAAACGAAGCCUUUUUUGGGCAACGGGCAAAAGAAGAAAUCAGCAUGGCGGUAGGUUCAAUGGUCGUGGCAAAAGACAAAAUCAAGGAGGAAGAAACAUAUCACACUUACUGAUGUGCUAGUAAUUUAUAUAUUAUUUAUAUAUUUUCUUUAAAUUAAUUUUAGGUUAAAUUAUAUUUAUUAUGUUAAUUUUAUCUUAAUUUUUAUAUUUUAGGUGCAUUUUGGGAAUAAAGAGGAAUUAAAUCAGAAUAUUCAAGUAAGGAGAGCUUAAAAAAGAAAUUAAUUGGAGAUUUAAGAAAAGUAAUGGGAGUUAAAAUGAAAAACAAAUCGAAGUAGCCAAAGCCUAAUUGAAGUUCACGUGAAGAUGAGAAGACUUAGCAUUGGAAAUAUGUUAAUUAAUAAGGUAAAUCAAAUGAAGAACGAAUUAAAAGAAGAAAGCAUUCUUGUGAUAGGCUUUGGCCAAAUCUUUAUUAGCUUAUUAAUUGAAUAAGUCACGUGCAUGCAUGAAAGAAUAAGGCGGCUUGACUUUUGUUUUUAAUUAUUUCCAUAUAAGGAUUUAAAGGCCACAAUUGAAGCAAUAUAAAAGGGCCAAGCGGAAGCAACGGAGGACGGAAUUAAGAGAGGAGGGCAGCCGCACGAAAUUGGAGCCAAGAAGAAAAAAAAAAAUAGAACAGCAGCCGAAAGUCUUAAGCCAAAACCGAGAGCAGCAGGAGCAAUUUGGAGGAGGAAGAAGACGCUAAGCUUAAUUCUUGAGUUUUUCUUUCCCUUGUCUCUAUUAUCUUACUUGAAUGUUCCUAAUUAAAUUUAUGAAUUCUCUUUAUAUUUUCAUGAACUAAUUUAUUUUGAUAGGGCUAUGAUGUAGCCUAACUAUGAAGAUUUAAUUCCAUAAAUUUAUGUUAUUUUUAAUUUUUUAUUCCAUGGUUGAGUGUUUAUUAUUGUGCUUAAUGCUUUUAAAUAUCUUGCCAAUAUUUGAAUGAUUUGAGGAUACAUAAUGAGACCGAGAGGAGAUUUAUGUGUUUUUACUUUGUGUAAUGGAUGUCAUGAAUUGAACGAAAGACAGAGAUGUACCAAUAUGAUUCGUAUAGUUUUAUCUAAGAAUUUUUAUAAAACUUAAUGACUCUUUGCAUAUUUAAAUUCACAUAGAGAUAUAGUGGGUUAAUAUGUGAAGGUAUUUUUGAUAUUACUCGAGAGAGGAUAUUGAAUAGACUAAGGAAAUUCACUGUCAACAUGGGUAGUAAACUUUAAUAGUAUAGAUGGAGGAUUAAAUUGGAUUGGUUAUGGUGAAAUUGGAUGUUCUAGUGUUUUAAUCUCUUUGUUUUUUGUUACUGCAUGCAUCUUUAUUUAAUUUUUAGUUAUUUUAUUUUAAUUUAAAUUCGCUUAUUCAAUUGUUUGAAUAAAUUAGGGUUAGAAUAAUUUUGGUAGCUAAUAGGAUAUACAAUCUCUGUGGGACGAUACUCUACUGUUCAUUAUAUUACUUGUGCUGACUAGUACACUUGCUAAUUUACGCAUCAAGUUUUUGGCGCCGUUGCCGGGGAUUGUUUGGAUUAGUAUCGAUACCAAAUAACCUUAGUUUAAUUUGAAUUUUAUUUUUAUUGUUAUAUUUUAAUUUUCAUUUUCUUGUCUAAUUUUAUGAGACGUUCAAGAAGUUUUGAUUUAUUGCCUUUUGAUCCAAAGAUUGAACGUACUUGUAGAAGGCUUUAUAGAGAAAGGAGAGAAGCUUUACAGGAGCAACAACUAAUUAUGGCUAACGAACCAUUACACGAAAAUGAGGAUGCGAGACCUUUAAGAGACUAUGUUGUUCCUACAGUUAAUGGUGCUCACUCAAGCAUUGCACGCCCUGCUGUUCAAGCCAAUAAUUUUGAAAUCAAGCCAGCCAUAAUCCAGAUGAUUCAGAUGUCAGUACAAUUUGCUGGGAUGCCAAAUGAUGAUCCAAAUGCUCAUAUUGCAAAUUUCUUGGAAAUUUGUGACACAUUUAAGCAAAAUGGUGUUUCAGACAAUACUAUCAGGCUAAGGCUUUUCCCGUUCUCACUAAGGGAUAAAGCAAAAGAGUGGUUGAACUCACUCCCUACUGGAACAAUCAGUACAUAGGAUGGUUUAGCACAGAAGUUUUAACAAAGUACUUUUCUCCAAGAAAAACAGCCAAGUUGAGGAAUAACAUCACAACCUUUGCUCAUUCACCUAUUUCUUUUUUACAGGAACAUAAUGAAGUGACUUUGUUGAUAAGUGGAUUUCAAAAUUAGUUAAAGCUAAAAUUGCUAAAAUUCCCAAUGCAGCAAUUGAAGGUCCACAAGAGCUGCAUGCAAAUCAAAAUACUGUUAUGGGUCCUUAAAAGUCACAUUUAAAUCAAAAUAUCGUUAUUCCUUAUGCGCAUCCGAAUGUCCAUAAGAAUCCUUUCGAAGCAUGGAAUUAUCCAUCAAAAUAAUGGCGUGAUUAAUAGAAAGCCUUUGACCGACCACAAGAGUCCUAUUUCAAGCGAAAUAAAUGAAUCAAAUCGGCCUGGUGAUAGUAGUGCGGUAAUCAAUGAAGAAAUUAACUCACAAGACAAUGAUGCUAUUGAAGACACUGACACUGACAAAUCCACUUCGUUCGAGACGCAGAGACAUGAUUUUGAUGUACAGGGUAGCAAAGAUAAACUACCAGACAUCUCAGACAAAUUGUUUAUUGACUUAAUCAUUCCCGAAUUACGGCAAGCCGAACCAACAGCGACAUCAAAUAUUCAUCCAAUGUUGACACGACUCAAGCUGAAACAUACCCCUCACCUAGCCUUAGGUGCAGAUCAAGAGAUAUACUGAGCAGCUUUAGAAAAUACUAUUUGAGUUUAUGCGGUAAACAGAGAAAUCAAAGCUCUAAAUCAGAAUAAUACUCGGACUUUUGUUCCACGUCCUACAGAUACCAAUGCUAUAGGUUCCAAAUGAGUCUAUACAAUCAAGUACAAGGACUAUGGCACAAUUGAUUGAUUUAAGGCUGGACUUGUUGCCAAAGGUAUAAUCAAGUUCUGGUUUUGACUUUGAAGAAACUUUUAGCCCUAUAAUAAAGCCAACAACUACAAGACUUGUCUUAUCUUUUGGUGUAAGCUCCAAAUGGCUCAUUUAAAAAUUUGAUGUCAAUAAUGCAUUUUUGCAUCAACAACUCAAAGUGGUAGAUAAAGGGCAGCUUCGAAGUUUCGAAAAUUAUUUAUUGCCAUCUCACAUUUGUAAACUCCACAACUGUCUAUAUGGUCUUAAUUAAGCCCCUAUGUCCUGGUUUUUUUUUUUUUUAAAUUUCCUAUGUCCUGGUUUAAAUGCCUCUCCCAUGCUUUUUUAGGCUAGAUUUCAUAACAGCGAAGCAGACACUUCACUUUUUAGUUAUAAUCAUAAUAAUGUUCUUCUUCUAAUACUUAUAUAUGUUGACGAUGAAAUUAUCACAUGCGAUAGUGAGGACGAGAAACAAACUAAAAUCAACCAACUUAGCAGCCAAUUUGUGCUAAAAUGCCUUCGUAUUCUUAGCUAUUUUUUAGGAAUAGAAGUCAAAAAUUUUAAUCAUGGAUUUUCCUAUCUCAUGCAAAAUAUACAAGGGAGUUAUUGCAUUCAGUUUGGUUCGAUUCAGAGAAAAAAAAACCAAAUAGUUCACAAAAUAAAGAAUUGAUUGGUUUUUUUUUGGGUUGGUUCAAAAUCGAACCACACGGAGAACCGACUAGUUCACUGUUUAAAAAUUUUAGCUAGUAUAAAGAAAAAUUAUUAAAAUUCUUAAACCAAACCAAGCCAAACUGGAACAAACCAAAAUAAUUUAACUCCGUUUGAUUCGGUUGUUCAAUUAGGUUCGUAUAUUUAUAAACCAAUGGAUUUUGAUUCGAUUUGGUUCAAGGGUGAAACCGAAUCGAACCGAAGCUGUUAACGCCCACCCCUUGGCUAAACUGUACACCUAUUACAACACCUACAACGGUGAAAACAACAUUAGCUUUGGACAAUCAAGAACCUAUGAUUGCUACAUAAUAUCAAGGCCUAGUAGGCAGAUUGCAGUACCUUACCAAUACGAGACCUAGUAUAUCACAUUCAAUCAAUCGCAUUUGCCAACACUUCCAAAUUUGACAAAGGCGGAUGUUGAUGCCAAAAUCUGGUCGAGCUUAUGAUAGUAACUAGGUUACCUUGUCAACACUUGAAUUUGUUUUGAUAGGGAAUCGGGGAACUGUUAACUUAUGGUAGGCGAUCAUAAGAUCUAUUCCUGGCAUGUCAUCAUGCGACCAGGCAAAUACAUCUGCAUAUGCUUGUAAACAGUAUACCAGCUUUUUCUUUAACCCCUCUUCCAACUUCGACCCAAUCUUGACAAUUUUUUAUGGAUCUUCUUGCUUUAUGCUUACUAUGUCGAUCUCUUCAACCGACUCUUACUUGCCCUUUUUGGCGUCUCCUUGAGCGUCCAAUGAGGUGAUUUUCAUUGUUUCCUUUGCUUCUACUACAUAGCAGCCCCAAACAAUCCUUUGAUCCCCCUUUACAGCAAUUAUGACACCAUUCACCUGAUAUUUAUGAGCCGGGAGAGGCUAUAUGCACUCUAAAAAUUACUUUGAACAUUCUAUUACUAUGUGCACUCAUCUAUUAAUUUUAAAAAAGUGAAUUAUAUUUUGUACACUCUUUAAAAUACCAAAAACGUCCUCACUUAAUUCUUUUUUAAAUUAAUCAUCUUAAUUACUCUACACACAUGAAAAUGCUAUAUACACUCAAACAAAAUAAAUCAAUUAAACAAUAUAUCAUUUGGCCAAAUCAAGGACUCUGUUUGCUCUUGCUUCAAAAAUUCGAAAUUUAAAAUCAUGAAGAGAAGUGAAGAUGAAAUUUUUAAUCGUAAUAGUUGAUUAACCACACUCAGCAAUCAUGGGCAAAACACGUGGUAUGGGAGCUGGCCGCAAACUGAAGUCAAACCGUCAAACUCAAAGGUGGGCUAAUAAAUCAUACAAGUGUCACCUCGGCGACAAAUGGAAUAAACCAUUUGUUGGUUCUUCCCAUGGAAAAAAUAUUUUAAAAAUAUUUUAAAGUAAAUUGUAAAAGAAUACAGACGCAGACAUAAGAUAUUUUAAAACAAAUUGUAAAUACUAUGCCCGUUCAUCAUAACAAAUUGUAGAGUAAUUUAAAGCAAUGAUCGCUGCCUGUUCAUCAAAAGAAUACAGAUGCCACAUACACAUGAGAACACACUCCUCAAUUAGAAAUUAAAAAUCUAUUCUAUGUAGUUUCAAGACCCACAAAUGAGACACAUGCUAGCCAUUAUGUUAUGCUUCAAAAUUGAAAUUCAAUACUUGAAUUCAGGACCCUUCAAACGAGAGACAUGCUAGCCAUAAUGUUGUACUUCAAAACUAAAUUUCAAUACUUGAGUACAAAGACACAUGCUAGCCAUAACAUUAUGCUUAAAACUGAAUUUCAAUACUUGAACAUCCUGUUAUCUUCAACUCCACCAAAUUUAGAGGGCAAUCAAUUCAACUACCUAACCAUCUGGAAGGGAAAAAACAAGAAAGAUUAUUUGUGUUGUAAAUUAGAAAAUUAGGAUCACACAUGCCUCAUUAAAGUUAAAAUCUUCACAUAUUGAGUUUCCUUUGUAACUAUUUAUUCGAGAUAUUUGAAAGAAAAAAAUUAAGAUUUAAAAUAGUAAGGAAAUUAAACAUUAAUUGCAGUGCCUUAAAUGAGCAUUCAAAGUAAUAAUAUUAUAUAUACUCAUAAUAAAGUGUCCUUAAUAGUAUUUUAUAUUAUGGGUAUUUUUGUAAUGAAAAUAUUUAUAAAAAUAUGAGUGUUUAGAGAAAUUUUUAGAGUGCGUAUAGCCCCACCCUUAAGAGCCAUGUAAUAAUUGGAUAUUACUGCUUUACUAAUUCUCAAGAAAGGUCUGCCCAAGAUUAUUUGAUAUGAGCUGUCUUCAUCAACUACCACGAAAUCUAAUAUCAUGGUCUUCUAGAAUGAAAUGGAGUUUAUUGUUACAGGCAAUUUGAACACACCAAGAGGAGUCAACUUUCCCCCAUCAAACCCCUUCAAUGUGCUAGUAUUCUUCAGUUUUAAAUUCGUAAUUCCCAUUUCAUCCAAGAUCGAUUUAAAUAAGAUGUCUACUAAGCUCUCAGUAUCCACAAGUAUCUGGUCGAACGUUUUGCUCGCACUGGACGAGCACCAUCAAUGAAACUAUCCAAAUAAUGAUUCCUUACUAAGUCCUCAACCUAGUUCUUGAGGUCUCGACAACACAUUGUUACAUGACCAUAGGUGUUAUGAAAUUCAUAGAAUUUGCUCAUGUCUCGCUUAUUGGCCGCUUUUGCUAUUGGGGAUGGGGGAUAUAACAAGCCAUGGUCUUUAAUCGUGUGAUAUAGUUCUUCCAAAGGGAUUGUCAAAAGAGUAUAUUGUUUGUACGUCGGGCUUUGGUCGAUUAUCUACAUAGCCUUGUCCCUAGGGAACCCUCUAUGCAUGUGGCUAGGUGGUGGGGUGAUGGUUGUCAAAGUCAGCAAAAAUAAAUACAUACUCUAAAUAAAUUGUGUAUAAUGAUUGAGAAGGGUCAUGUCCACAGAGAUCGGUAAUUAUUUAAAUCCUUUUAAAACGUAAAACAUAAAAUGGGGGUUUUGUUGACAAUAAUAAAAAUCAAAUUAAAAUAACAAGAAUGCAAAUUAAAGUUGUAAUUCAAAUUGGAGAAAGCUCUGGUUGAAGGAAUUAACUCAGCUUGAUUUAACUACUGAUCAUUGAUUCAAAUAUAAAUUAUUACUACUUAUGAAUAGACCGGUUAUAGCUACUGAGACCCUCUAAUAGCCAAUCUCUCCUUAACUAGUCGAUAACCAAGGUACGACCGUUGGUUAUUUCCCUAAUCAAUAGACAACCCUGGAUACGAUCAUAUGAUUUAAUCAAUUGACAGCCUGAAAAACCAGAGAGACCCAAAUCCUAAUCAACAAACGCAUACGAUGGUUCAUUUAAAUUAGAUUGUUUAUUCUCAUAACAUAACUCACUGCUAUGUUAUUUGUCACAAACAUUAAAAUCUUCAUACGAUGAAUCCUUUAAUUGACAAUAGAUUAAAUUGAUAAUUAAAUAGUGGCCAGUUAUCUAAUUAACAAACAUAAUUAUGAAAAUAAUUCAGAGAAUAAACAAAUACCCAAAAAGUAAUAAAACAAUUAAAGCAUAAGAAAGAUCUCACAGUAGUGAUGAAUCAAAGCUUCAUUAACCUUCAACCAGAAAAAUAGGUUUAGUUCUUCAUAGAGAGAAGAGAAAAGUUUAGAUCCAGGGUUUCUUUCUUUUUCCAAUCUCCCCUUUUUCACAAUAGAUUCCUCCCUUAAAUACUCUCUCUCUCUUCUCCUCUAGAGUUCUUUUUAAAAUGAAAUUCUAAUAUCUGAAAUAUUAAAUUCGUAAUUACAAAAAUAACCAAAAAUACAAAACACGUUAAACUAAAAACUGCAGGUCCGUAGUUGAUAGCACGCGCCCACGCCUUAUCAACAAAGUUCUUCUGACGCUCAUAAUUUCUCCAAGAGAACAAUCAUCCUUAAACAUCAUCUUGUAGCUCAAUUUUAUCACCAAUCAAUAGAAUUGCACCUACAAAAGUAAAACACAAGUAAAUCACUAUUAUUAAGUGCAAAACAUCGAUAUUAAGGGAAGUAAACAAUGCAAAACUAGUGUAUAAAUUGCACUCUAAUAUGGGGAGUCUGGUUUGUUGAAUAUGGUAUCUAGUAGGUAACAGGCUAUCGGAGCAUUAUACCGAGGGUGCUUAUGCGGUUGGUUGGGUUCCCCUAAGUGAUUGCUACCGGAAGAGCGAAGAGUUGGCCGUGCUAGAAUUGAGUUGGCCUCGGACGAGGCUGGUAAGGGAGUGCUUAACCACUUACUCCUCCACUUAAGGAUGGUUUGUUGCUUUGGUUAAUAGGCCUGCCCACUUUUUGGACUUUUUUCUUCAAAUUCCCGAGCUGUUCAACCCUUAAUCUCACUGCCUUUUGUUCCUCGAUUUCAAUGUCUCUUUUUGCCUGCUCGUAUGCUGCAGAGUAUGAUUGUAUGGCUAGAUUUCUUAAGUUAUACUAGAGCCACUCUAUCUUUACCCCUUCUUUAAGCCCUUUCAAAGCCUGUGGAUGGUUAAAGGACCUAAGGUCAAGAACAAUAUAAUGAUACUUGUUCAAGAACUUCUUGAGGGUAUCAUUUUCUCUCUGUUUGAUUCCUAAAAACUUUAUCAUAUCGUCUUCUGGAGCUACUGCCUUGUGAAAUUGUUCUGGAAAUUCUCGGCACAUCUACUCAAAGCUUCUAAUACUACCUCGAGGUAAUUUUCGGUACCACCCGUGCACACGCCCUUCCAAAGUUAUUGGAAAUACUCUACACCUCUAGGCCUGUGUUAAACCUUGUACCCCCGUCAUAUCAUUAAAACACUCAAUAUAAACUAAAGGAUCACUCUUCUCAAAAUACUUGAGGUCAGGGAACCAGAAAUCUCGUGGAAUUAUUGUGCUCAUGAUUUCUUUUGAAAUAAGUGAUUUACUAUCUAGCAUAAUUCUCCAACUUAGUGUCUUCCAUCGCCCUUGCAGCUCUUCAUUCACCUGAGCUAAUCUGGGCACCUCACCCUCCAGCUCCAUAACACGUUCUGGGUUUCGUGUUGCGACUUAAUCACGUUCUCACCCUAUAUCAUUUAGGUGUUGUCUCAAUUCUCUUUCUCGAGCACUUGUUCCUCCUCUGUGUUUAAUUGGCCCUGAUUCUCUCUUAGCUAAUCUUUCACUCGAAUACUCUGAUCAUUACAGAGCCGAACCCCUUCGUAACGGCUCUGUUCACCUUGGGUAACUCCAUUACUAGGGCCAGAGACAUUGGGGUUUUCCACCUGGGAUUUCUCCCAUGUGCCCUUCUCUUAAUUCUUGAAGGACAGCAGUGAAGGCCUCCAUCUGUUUCUCCAUUUGCUCCACUUGCUCGUACAUCAACCUCUCUCUUUCUUCAUUUGCCGUCUCUCGAGAAACAACAGGAUCAAUUACUCUAGAAUCAGUUCCACGGGCUCUAUUUCCUCUUGGAUUUGUUUUGCUUGUCGUGUUGUCAAUUUAUUUGGCUGGUAGCAGCUUUUGGUAAGCUCCCCACUGUUGAUGUUGAAAUUUGGUCGAGCUUAUGACAGCGACUAGGUUCCCUCGUCAACACUUGAAAAUUUUUUUUUAUGAGGAACUGUUAACUGCUAUUCUGAUGGGAUUGGAAUUGUCACCUUGCUUCGUUAUUCCCUGCGACAAUAGAGAACUGUCAUGGGGCGUCAGAUAUUUUUUGGAAAAAACCCUCCGACGCUCAAGUCAGUAAUCGAUUUUCUUGUAAGGAACUAAUGUCACUUCUCUUGUGAUCUUAAUUACUUUUUUUUUUUUUUU